GUUGUGGUCUUCAGUGAUAGAAAUACAAAGAAAUCAUCUCACUGAGCCAUAAAAAAUUUCAGAUACUAAAAAUUCAAAGAUCAAAGAAAUAUAAGGUAGCAUAUAUUAGUCUGAGCCAAGAAGCUGAUAAAUAACAAGUUAAAAGUAAAAUAGUAAAGUAACCAAACUGCUUGAAAAGUGAAAUUCAAAGAAGAAAGAGCUAGAAAGAAACCAAUCUAUCUUGUGAUAUGCGCGAUGAAAGAAUCCAACUCUAUUUGAGAAGCACCCCCUUUCUCUGUGGACUGUCUUACAGCUUCUCCCAAUUCUUCUGCUCUUUUUCUGAUCAGGUCACCUUCUUCUGAUGCCAUCAACU
Long non-coding RNA from Solanum stenotomum, 352 nucleotides. RefSeq lists it as uncharacterized. NCBI's taxonomy places the organism in Eukaryota, Viridiplantae, Streptophyta, Magnoliopsida, Solanales, Solanaceae. The transcript is spliced from 3 exons. The record is from RefSeq and is a predicted model, not a curated record.